Ictalurus punctatus (channel catfish) is the source of this 3641-nucleotide long non-coding RNA. The record is from Ensembl. NCBI's taxonomy places the organism in Eukaryota, Metazoa, Chordata, Actinopteri, Siluriformes, Ictaluridae.
GUGGCUUAAAUUUAUUCUCCAGUUAAAGGUGACUGCAAGAAGCAAGAGGCCAGAUUGUGUCAACAAGAACACACGAAGAACCACAUUAUGGAAAAGCGGCCAGCAUAAUACCGCAGCCCAUUAAAUUAUGUGAAUUAUUCUGGCAUGGAAACAGCAGGAUUUGUGCUCAAUACAACCACCCUAAGCUCACAUGGAAAGAAUGCUGGCAUGUGUGCACCUUCACCAUUGAACCUCAAAGUCUCUGGAGGCUUCAGAUUGGCCUGGUGAAAACGAGCAGCUCUCUUUCUCCUCUGCCGCUCCCCCCUUUCCAUCUCUCCCCUGGUUGAGUGUUGCAAGCGGUUACUGCGCCACCACAACAAGAGGCUUAAACCCUCAAAACCGUGCAGGAUCAGCUCAGCGAUAUUUACACCAAGCAGGGCAGAUGUAAAACAGAAUCUCUUCAGUUAAUUGAAACAGUAAUGUCUUUGGAAUAUGUAACAAUUACAAUAACCUGCGUCUUUCUGGACUUUACAGAAACAGCUUGAUUUGAUUUUAACUGAUCUCACUCUUACAUAUGGGAACAAUCCUGCAAUUAUUUCAUUUUAAUACAAUUUAGAUAACCUAUUCAUUGUUCUUCUUACACGUCAAAAAUGAGCUUAGUAGUAAAGUAUGCCACAGUCUGGUGCCACAGAGGAGCAAUAAAACGCUAAUGUGUUUAACUAGUGCAGUGCCACAGCAGGAUCUUAAACAAGGGGCUCCACUGUCCUAACCAGUCAGAACGGUCUGUAAUGAUCCUAAGCACAACAAGCAGCAGGUUUUACAAGACCAUCGGUCAAAGAUCUGCUUCCGUUUAUGACUCUGACCUACUGCAAAACCUAGUGGCCUUCUAAUACUCAUAGUCCUGUAUUGCUGCAAGAAAUCCUGUGCACCUAAAUAAAUGAAACCAUUCAUUGUCUGCUCUCAAUGGGCUUGACACUUUUUAGACGACUGCAUCAUUGCAAAAUAUCCAUGAUUUGUCAUAUUAAGGAAAACCCUAGUGGCUGUUUUUCCAUUGGGCACUGGAUCCACAGAAUCACUGCCUCUUCGUCAUAUUAGUCAGAUUCACAUAGUACUGCCAACCAUGGAGACUGUACGCUGGAAAAAGUGUCAAUAUUUUAAAACACUUCAUAAUGUAGUUAUUGAGGGAAAAACAUCGACUGAAAACAGGCAUCCAGGAUGCAACACAAGUCUUGACAUAUAUCAUGGGUAUAAAUGCUCUCAUACUGUUGAACAGACUUUGUUCCAUUGAAAAUGUACAUGAAAUGACUUGAAUCAAAUCUGAGGAGUCAUGCAAGUUAAUAAUCCCUAUACCACGGUCUGUCUGAAUACUUGAUUCGGAUUGGCUGGAAGGUGUGCAUCCAAACCGUAUUAAGCACAGGUAUUUCCAGUCAGUACUAAAUUAAUGCUCUACCUAUAAACAGCUGUAGCCAUAGUAACAUACAGUUACAGUUGCGUACAGUAAUUCAACUCAGCCUCAUUAUUAGUAGAGUAUUUUUAGUAGAAUUUUGAUAAACAACAUCUAUAAUAAGUCUUCUCUUACACUAUAGCAGCAGAAAUAUCAUAACUCAACAAUAAAGUCAUUUUACUGUUUUUUUUUUUUGGUUUUUUUUUUUUACACUUGAGACCACAGCAUUAUGUGAAACUUAGCAAUAUUAUCUGAAACUUAGCUCCACCCACAGCACAAACAUGUCAAAUAUCCCUGAAAGUCUUGUAUACUGUCAGGUCAAUUUGUGCAUCACUAUACAUAAUAUGAACUCUUUAGAUGUUCGUUCCCAUCACUAGAAGGAUAUUAUAGAGUAAUUCCUCUAAGAAGUGAGUGUUGUUGGAUUCACAUUACAUUUUAUACACUGAAGAAUUAUUUUUUUAUUUUUUUUUAUUUUUUUUUAACAGUGCAGUGUUUUCUUGACUAAUCAAAAAAGCUGAUCAAAACUUUUUUUGAAAAAAAAUUUCAGCAAACUACUCUGGAAAAGUCUCUCUUGAGAGUGUCUUCAGAGUGAAACAAAUUUAAUUCUAACCACAUCAAAAGACUAAACUUGUGACUUUACUGAGUAUUCAAAAGUAUGCAUAUUUAAUUCGAAGAAACCCAAUUUGCCUAAAUACAUGUAAAUUUUUUAAAUUUCAGUACACUGUGAUAAACAGCUAUACACCUCAGUCUAUCACUGAAUAUGUUCAAAACAAAUUAUAAUUACAUGUGCAUUUGCUCAAAGAUGAGCAUUCCACACUUAUCCUGAAUUCAGCUUUGGACUUGGGGGGGCGACCCUCUGUGAGAGAGGCCUUUCAUAAUACUCAUAACACCCUGACCACAAAGGAACCAUUCAUCCCACAUGAAGACAUACUAUGAAGAGCAAACAACUUACCUGCUCCAGUCUGACCCCUGAAUAGGAGAGAAGAGCUCUGGAGACCUGGAGCUGGAUGGCAUGGAGCACUCUGCUGUAUUCCGUGUCUACAAAGGUAUAGGCCUUGCUCAGACGACAUCUUCUUCCAUAAGCAGCCUGCCAUGCUCGGUCUGAUAUAUGACCAGUCCUCACAAUCGCUCUGGUGCCAGUGCACACCUUCUUCAAGACCUUCUGGUUGUUCUUGAGGUACCUCCGGACCAGGACAGUGGACCGCUCCUUCUUGUGAGUGAACUCACUAUCAGAAGCUGUAGCCUCGCCAUCGCUGUGUUGGUGAGCCAAGGAAGGCUUUGAGGUUGUGGAAGCCUGGCAGGGCAUCCUCGAGCACCUGACUUUGGAUCUCUUGUUGAGCCUCUCCAGGCUCGAGAAGACUCCGUUGUGGCAAUGAGCAGAAUUAAAAUUCACCUGGCCCUGCGUUCCUGCUUCCAGCCUUGCACCAUAGGCACACGUGCAGUGGAAGCGCGACAAGAACAGCGUCGCUAAGCUGAUUCUCCUGGUGCCGAGCCUUUCCUCAUCUAGGCUUGGCGACUCUCCAGCAAGCCGCGUCGCAGCAGAAGAAAACCCCUCUGUUCUCCUCGGAAACCCUGAUUCCCAGCCUCCACUAUGUACGGCGGCCUCUUGGCAGCAACCGUCUGUUUCCACUGGCCCACAUGUGCUGCACGGCUGGCUGCAACACAAUCCCUCCACCCGGCGGCAUGACACUGUGCUGCAACAGCAGUCUUUGUGUAAAUAGUCCAGACUGUCCAAGCUCUUGGAUCUGCUGUCCAAAGGGCUUCUUGUACCACAGUCCAUACGUAUCUGUUCAGAUGAUUUAGAGUCACAGCAAUCCUCUGCUGGAUGUAGACUAUGUGAACAUGAACAAAACAUCAGUGGGUCUGAGUUUCUUCUCUCAUGUGCCUCAUAACCAAACGAUAACAUCUGAUUUCUGAAUUUUGUCAAAGAAGAAGCCGCUCUUGCCUCCAUUCCGACUCCCAGAAUCACAGCAGCCUUCUCCGAAGAUACAGAGAUGCUAGGAAGUCCAAUUCCAACCUGUUCCUCCACACAAACCCUCAUAUCACAAAAGCACUCAAUCACAGUUCAGGAUUUUUAAAAAAAUAAAACUAUAUCGGUUCCAAAAGAGUCACUUUUGUUGGAAGCAAAAGAAGAAUUCAGUUCCAAAAUAAGGAGCGGCACUCCCAGGUUGCGCAAUGCUCAGCCUUGUCUUCUCCAACCUCUACUCUCAAGAUCUGA